GGGGACGACUGGUUUUGACAGGUAUUUUUAUCGUAGGUGUAAAGCAUAUCGCAGGGUGGACUGCGUUAAAAACCGCAAAAAAAAUAAACGCAAAUUAUAAUAAUAAUUUAGCAUACGCUGCCUAACUUAGUUUAGGUUGCUUGUCUGACAUAGUAGGCUUACUGGACUGUGUUAGGCAUUAAUUUAAAGUAAGAAACCUUGAUGUUUUUUAUCCUUUUGAGGACACAAGGGGAUUUUUUCAAAAGGACAACUAAUUGCAGUUUGUUUAUGGAAUGCACUUAGUUGAAUUUAAACAUAAACUAAGUAUGUAGAAAAGCCUGUGAGGAAUAUUUGGACGUGGGUUCGAUACCCACCGUCUCCACCA
This 364-nucleotide transfer-messenger RNA is filed under the name Clostridia bacterium. It matches the Rfam family "transfer-messenger RNA". Rfam says of the family: Bacterial tmRNA, also known as 10Sa RNA or SsrA, is named for its dual tRNA and mRNA-like properties. Its role is to liberate the mRNA from a stalled ribosome. To accomplish this part of the tmRNA is used as a reading frame that ends in a translation stop signal. Lineage: Bacteria; Bacillati; Bacillota; Clostridia. RNAcentral also lists the same sequence under 1 other name. The record is from RNAcentral.